GGGGUGCAGCAGGCGCGAAACCUCCGCAAUGUGAGAAAUCGCGACGGGGGGAUCCCAAGUGCCAUUCUUAACGGGAUGGCUUUUCAUUAGUGUAAAGAGCUUUUGGAAUAAGAGCUGGGCAAGACCGGUGCCAGCCGCCGCGGUAACACCGGCAGCUCUAGUGGUAACAAUUUUUAUUGGGCCUAAAGCGUCCGUAGCCGGUUUAAUAAGUCUCUGGUGAAAUCCUGUAGCUUAACUGUGGGAAUUGCUGGAGAUACUAUUAGACUUGAGACCGGGAGAGGUUAGAGGUACUCCCAGGGUAGAGGUGAAAUUCUGUAAUCCUGGGAGGACCGCCUGUUGCGAAGGCGUCUAACUGGAACGGUUCUGACGGUGAGGGACGAAAGUUAGGGGCGCGAACCGGAUUAGAUACCCGGGUAGUCCUAACUGUAAACGAUGCGGACUUGGUGUUGGGGGUGGCUUUGAGCUGCUCCAGUGCCGAAGGGAAGCUGUUAAGUCUGCCGCCUGGGAAG
RNAcentral lists this ribosomal RNA (509 nucleotides) under uncultured archaeon. RNAcentral's name for it is "bacterial SSU rRNA". It matches the Rfam family "Archaeal small subunit ribosomal RNA", at positions 327 to 835 of the family's 1478-position model. The record is from RNAcentral.